GUGCUAUGAUGCAUCAGUUUCACCCGAAAUCACUGUGGGUUGAAAUCCGAGCUUUUUAACACUGAGUCACA
This 71-nucleotide small nucleolar RNA is filed under the name Marmota marmota marmota (Alpine marmot). Lineage: Eukaryota; Metazoa; Chordata; Mammalia; Rodentia; Sciuridae. The record is from RNAcentral.